RNAcentral lists this long non-coding RNA (1057 nucleotides) under Numida meleagris (helmeted guineafowl). RNAcentral's name for it is "lncRNA (ENSNMEG00000009881.1)". The record is from RNAcentral. Lineage: Eukaryota; Metazoa; Chordata; Aves; Galliformes; Numididae.
CAAGAGUGCUCAUUCUGCUCAUGAACCAACGUUUGCUAUACUGCCAGGUGUCUGGCUCUGCGGUUAGAGGAUCAACAGAUUUUUCUAAACAAAACAAUAUAUUUACCUGGUAGAAACCUACUGCGAUAAAGUCAGGCCUUCAUGGAGCUAGAGAGAUGUCUGCUGUGGUUUGGAGAGGAGCACUGCUUCUUCCAGAUUUACAUACGUUCAGGAACCAAACUCCCGAAUUCUUGUUCUGUGAUCUGAGUAAGAGCAGGGCUUCAUUAUCAGCAACACUCAUUGUACAGCUUUUGGUGGAAGGAAGAAAAGAAAGCAGCACUGGGAAUGAGGCUCUCUGGAUCCUUAUUUGUUCUUCCUCUCAUUCACAGUGCUUUGCCGCUGGCAGGUAAGUGCCUUCCUCUUGUCUCCUGUAACAUUGUGUGUGAAAGACUUACUUGGGGAAUUCAUUAGCACUAGUAACACAAAUGAAGUAGAAUCUACGUGAAAUAGUUGGAUUACCUUUGGGAAGUUAUUGUAGACUUGCACUGACAAUAUAACUUCCAUCUCUUUUGUUGCACUUCUGUCACAGGUGUUAAACAGAGAAAGUUUGGAGAACCAGAUAUCUCCUGAGUAAAAUUGUUUGUAAUGGAUUGACUCACAGUUCCUGUUUGAAUCGUACGUGGUAUCACUGCAGGGGCUGAACUAUAUUGUAUUGUGUAUUAUAAAUUGAAUUGAUUUAGUUUUUUGCAAGCUUUUUCAAUGAAUUUACUUUUUUUAAUACCUAUUUUUAGUAUAUGUGAUACUCAGUGAUCAAAAGAUGUAUUGUGGACCCAAACAGGUUAUGAAUCCCACAACUCUAGAGUGCUGCUUUCUCAUACUAUGUUUGAUUUCCCAAUGUCAUUCCUAGUUUUACAUUGCCAUGGCUCACAGUAGACUGCAGGUCUUGUAGGUCAGCAAAGCCCUUGAACCUUCAGUGAGGCCUGGAGUUGUUCACCCACAUUUAUAGGAAAAAGGAGAAAAAAAAUAUGAAUUAUGGAGGGAAAAUAAAUGGCUCAGAAAAGAUGGCUGUGAUACCUGU